AACGCUAGCUACAGGCUUAACACAUGCAAGUCGAGGGGCAGCAUGGUCUUAGCUUGCUAAGGCCGAUGGCGACCGGCGCACGGGUGAGUGACACGUAUCCAACCUGCCGUCUACUCUUGGACAGCCUUCUGAAAGGAAGAUUAAUACAAGAUGGCAUCAUGAGUCCACAUGUUCACAUGAUUAAAGGUAUUCCGGUAGACGAUGGGAUGCGUUCCAUUAGAUAGUAGGCGGGGUAACGGCCCACCUAGUCUUCGAUGGAUAGGGGUUCUGAGAGGAAGGUCCCCCACAUUGGAACUGAGACACGGUCCAAACUCCUACGGGAGGCAGCAGUGAGGAAUAUUGGUCAAUGGGCGCGAGCCUGAACCAGCCAAGUAGCGUGAAGGAUGACUGCCCUAUGGGUUGUAAACUUCUUUUAUAAAGGAAUAAAGUGGUCCACGUGUGGAUUUUUGUAUGUACUUUAUGAAUAAGGAUCGGCUAACUCCGUGCCAGCAGCCGCGGUAAUACGGAGGAUCCAAGCGUUAUCCGGAUUUAUUGGGUUUAAAGGGAGCGUAGAUGGAUGUUUAAGUCAGUUGUGAAAGUUCGGGGCUCAACCCCGGAAUUGCAGUUGAUACUGGAUAUCUUGAGUACAGUUGAGGUAGGCGGAAUUCGUGGUGUAGCGGUGAAAUGCUUAGAUAUCACGAAGAACUCCGAUUG
This 693-nucleotide ribosomal RNA is filed under the name uncultured bacterium. RNAcentral describes it as "bacterial SSU rRNA". It matches the Rfam family "Bacterial small subunit ribosomal RNA", at positions 32 to 715 of the family's 1533-position model. The record is from RNAcentral.